GGAUGAACGCUGGCGGCGUGCCUAACACAUGCAAGUCGAGCGAUCUUCUUCGGAAGAGAGCGGCGGACGGGUGAGUAACGCGUGGGUAACCUGCCCUGUACACACGGAUAACAUACCGAAAGGUAUGCUAAUACGGGAUAACAUACUUUUAUCACAUGGUAGAAGUAUCAAAGCUCCGGCGGUACAGGAUGGACCCGCGUCUGAUUAGCUAGUUGGUAAGGUAACGGCUUACCAAGGCGACGAUCAGUAGCCGACCUGAGAGGGUGAUCGGCCACAUUGGAACUGAGACACGGUCCAAACUCCUACGGGAGGCAGCAGUGGGGAAUAUUGCACAAUGGGCGAAAGCCUGAUGCAGCAACGCCGCGUGAGCGAUGAAGGCCUUCGGGUCGUAAAGCUCUGUCCUCAAGGAAGAUAAUGACGGUACUUGAGGAGGAAGCCCCGGCUAACUACG
Molecule: ribosomal RNA, 451 nt
Filed under: uncultured Clostridium sp.
Lineage: Bacteria; Bacillati; Bacillota; Clostridia; Eubacteriales; Clostridiaceae
Description: bacterial SSU rRNA
Rfam family: Bacterial small subunit ribosomal RNA
Source: RNAcentral